AGAACGAACGCUGGCGGCAUGCCUAAUACAUGCAAGUCGAACGAACUCUUCGGAGUUAGUGGCGCACGGGUGCGUAACGCGUGGGAAUCUGCCCUUGGGUUCGGAAUAAUAGUUGGAAACGACUGCUAAUACCGGAUGAUGACGAAAGUCCAAAGAUUUAUCGCCAGGGAUGAGCCCGCGUAGGAUUAGCUAGUUGGUGAGGUAAAGGCUCACCAAGGCGACGAUCCUUAGCUGGUCUGAGAGGAUGAUCAGCCACACUGGGACUGAGACACGGCCCAGACUCCGUACGGGAGCAGCAGUAGGAUAUGGACAGUGGGCAAAGCCUGAUCCAGCAAUGCCGCGUGAGUGAUGGAACGGCCGUUAGGGUAGUAAAGCCUUACGUUUACCCGAGUAUA
RNAcentral lists this ribosomal RNA (395 nucleotides) under uncultured soil bacterium. RNAcentral's name for it is "bacterial SSU rRNA". It matches the Rfam family "Bacterial small subunit ribosomal RNA", at positions 26 to 451 of the family's 1533-position model. The record is from RNAcentral.